GGAAUCUACAAAAAAUGACAAAUUGAAAAGCAAAUGCAAUGAAAUUGAGUCCACAGUUCAAAAGCAUGAGGAUAUUUUAAUUAAGAAAGAGAACCAAAUCAAGCAGCUUCACAACCAACUUGCAAAGCAGAAAACAACCUUGAAACUCCAGCUGACUGAUGUUGAGAUCCAGAGGAAGCAGGAAGCUUACAUUGCAGCAGCACUGCAGAAGAAACAGAGAACAGCGGGGCACUGGACCAGCGGCUCCUCUUGAUAUGACGCGUCUGUAUAAUAGCUAGAAAUAUUACUGUCCACACGUCUUGUAUUCAGACUGGAGCUCCUUCUGUUUCCCUUUCAUAGGGUACCAACAGUGCCUUUCAGUCAUGCAGCUGAAUAUAUAAACCAGUCAUGUAACAGGAGAGUAAGGGAAAAACAAAAUCUACAGCAAAAAUAAAGACUUGCGUGAAAGUUAUGAAAAUUAGAGGUAUGUAUCUUUUUUUUAAAGCCUUGCUAAUUACAUGUUUAAGGCAAACUUGUACUCAUUUAAAUUGAUUAAAAGUGUAAUUGUAAAACAGUUUUUGAUGUCCUUUAACACUCAACUUACUUGUAAGAGGUCCCAGUGAUUCAGCAAAGACAACGUGACUAGGUCCCUCACUACUCUCCUUCCCUCUGUCUUAAGUCUACCUCUGGUAGAUUCCUCUGGCACUGGUUUCAUUAUAACCACUUGUAUUUGAUCUGUGAUUGUACCGUUGUUUAUGUUUGAUUGUAUAUAGUGGAGAGAGUCAUGCCAAGCAUCACUCCUUGUGUCCAAUUAGCAUUGGGAAGAUUGCUGUAGCCAGUAGAAACUGGAGACAUGGGAGAUGAGAUUCAGUCGAAAUGAAAAGAAAAUGUUGAUAGCAGACCAAGGGCAAAGCAAUGAGGGUCUUGUUAAAAUGCUGCUCCACUACGUGGAGGGAAGACAUGCAUGGGUUCUUCCAGCUUGAAAGGUAAUCCCCUAAUAAGAUCAUUUACACUCACUGCAAAUUAGCAGCUUCAAAAAAUAACCCCAUUUGAUACACAUCAAGCACAAAUACCUUACACCCUAACCUUACACUAAUCUGAAACAUUUCACCUUUAUUUCUUAGUCAUUGUUUUUGUAUUGUGCGAACCUGCUAUCAUUCUAAACAUGUCAUAUUAAGAGACUUGUAACAUCUUUCACUGUCUUAAUGCCAUUAGAGAUGAAAAAACCUUUGAAAUAUAUCAGAAAUGAAUGAAUAAUUGAUUCAAUGUUUUGUUUUUUUCUUGUUUGUAUUACAUGCUGGUGCCAGUGUAUCCUGUCUUGUAUUUUUUUAAUCUAAUAAAAGAGAAAUAGAAGAUACAGCACACAG
Molecule: long non-coding RNA, 1346 nt
Organism: Polyodon spathula (Mississippi paddlefish)
Lineage: Eukaryota; Metazoa; Chordata; Actinopteri; Acipenseriformes; Polyodontidae
Exons: 3
Source: RefSeq, a predicted model, not a curated record